This is a long non-coding RNA of Tupaia belangeri chinensis (Chinese tree shrew), 689 nucleotides long. RefSeq lists it as uncharacterized. Lineage: Eukaryota; Metazoa; Chordata; Mammalia; Scandentia; Tupaiidae. The record is from RefSeq and is a predicted model, not a curated record. The transcript has 4 exons.
GCGGGCCGUUCUCCGGCAGCACCGGGCCUCACGCUGUGAAGUCUGGGCGCGUCCACGUUUCCCUCCGCUCGAAUCGACACUUGGGAAAGUUUCUGGUGCUCGGAAUUCCCCUCUGCCUCCCCCCACUGCCGUAUCUUUAAACCGGGAUUCACUUCAAUAUUCCUCCUUGCCCGAGGCAUCGUGACCUGACUUCAGCCUCCGUACAGUCACGGUCAAAGGAAACCAACACAAGCAUGGAGCUUAUGUUACCUGCUGUGCCAUGGGCGAGAAAGUCUUUUGCCCCUGCCCCAGGAGUUUUGAGUCUUCUGUCAGCAUUUAUAAAACAGUAACAGGACAGAAGAAUUUGACUCCAACCUUCCAGUUAUAAAAAUGACAUUACACUUCCACGGAAAAAUCAAAACAUCCUGAUAUAGGAGCAAACAAGGAUUCUGAAGACCCGUAUGUAGCAUGGUGUGAAGCUGAUGAGGCCAGGAGGCGAACCCCAGUCAGUCCCAUGGAACCUGGCUUCCUUUGCACAACACCUAACUGCUACACCUUGGAGCUGGCCCUAUUUUGCUAAUAUCUUUCUCACAUCUUUGAUAGUCAGUGAGAAUCUCACUGCACAGUACAGCUAGAAUCUUUCCCUCUUGAACUGUUGCAAAAGUCUCAAGAAGCAAUUCUUGAAUAUAAAAUAAAUUAAUUUUAAAAAA